CAGUCGAACGAGGAUUUAACGGAAUGCGAUUCGUCAAAUGAAAUUAAAUCCGAGCGGCGGACGGGUGAGUAACGCGUGGAUAACCUGCCUCACACAGGGGGACAACAGCCGGAAACGGCUGCUAAUACCGCAUAACACAAGUAAUUCGCAUGAAUAACUUGCCAAAGAUUUUAUCGGUGUGAGAUGGAUCCGCGUCUGAUUAGCCAGUUGGCGGGGUAACGGCCCACCAAAGCGACGAUCAGUAGCCGACCUGAGAGGGUGACCGGCCACAUUGGGACUGAGACACGGCCCAAACUCCUACGGGAGGCAGCAGUGGGGAAUAUUGCACAAUGGGCGAAAGCCUGAUGCAGCGACGCCGCGUGAAGGAUGAAGUAUUUCGGUAUGUAAACUUCUAUCAGCAGGGAAGAAAAUGACGGUACCUGACUAAGAAGCCCCGGCUAACUACGUGCCAGCAGCCGCGGUAAUACGUAGGGGGCAAGCGUUAUCCGGAUUUACUGGGUGUAAAGGGAGCGUAGAUGGCAUGGCAAGUCUGAAGUGAAAGCCCGGGGCUUAACCCCGGGACUGCUUUGGAAACUGUUAAGCUAGAGUGCAGGAGAGGUAAGCGGAAUUCCUAGUGUAGCGGUGAAAUGCGUAGAUAUUAGGAGGAACACCGGUGGCGAAGGCGGCUUACUGGACUGUAACUGACAUUGAGGCUCGAAAGCGUGGGGAGCAAACAGGAUUAGAUACCCUGGUAGUCCACGCCGUANACGAUGAAUACUAGGUGUUGGGGAGUAUAAGCUCUUCGGU
Molecule: ribosomal RNA, 786 nt
Filed under: uncultured bacterium
Lineage: Bacteria
Description: bacterial SSU rRNA
Rfam family: Bacterial small subunit ribosomal RNA
Source: RNAcentral